Molecule: ribosomal RNA, 465 nt
Filed under: uncultured bacterium
Lineage: Bacteria
Description: partial 16S ribosomal RNA
Rfam family: Bacterial small subunit ribosomal RNA
Source: RNAcentral
GACGAACGCUGGCGGCGUGCUUAACACAUGCAAGUCGAACGGAAAGGCCCCUUCGGGGGUACUCGAGUGGCGAACGGGUGAGUAACACGUGAGUAACCUGCCCUUGACUUCGGGAUAACUUCAGGAAACUGGGGCUAAUACCGGAUAGGAAUCCUUGCUGCAUGGUGGGGGUUGGAAAGCUUCGGCGGUUUUGGAUGGACUCGCGGCUUAUCAGCUUGUUGGUGGGGUAGUGGCUUACCAAGGCUUUGACGGGUAGCCGGCCUGAGAGGGCGACCGGCCACAUUGGGACUGAGAUACGGCCCAGACUCCUACGGGAGGCAGCAGUGGGGAAUAUUGCACAAUGGGCGGAAGCCUGAUGCAGCAACGCCGCGUGCGGGAUAACGGCCUUCGGGUUGUAAACCGCUUUCAGCAGGGGCGAAGCUUGUGGUGACGGUACCUGCAGAAGAAGCACCGGCUAACUACGUG